This 26-nucleotide ribosomal RNA is filed under the name Alternaria sp. ZC-2014. RNAcentral's name for it is "partial 18S ribosomal RNA". Lineage: Eukaryota; Fungi; Ascomycota; Dothideomycetes; Pleosporales; Pleosporaceae. The record is from RNAcentral.
GCCUGCGGAGGGAUCAUUACACAAAU